This 301-nucleotide ribosomal RNA is filed under the name uncultured bacterium. RNAcentral describes it as "partial 16S ribosomal RNA". It matches the Rfam family "Bacterial small subunit ribosomal RNA", at positions 510 to 808 of the family's 1533-position model. The record is from RNAcentral.
AGUAGCCACGGUAAUACGUAGGUGGCGAGCGUUGUCCGGAUUUAUUGGGCGUAAAGGGAGUGUAGGCGGUCUUUUAAGACUGAUGUGAAAGCCCACGGCUCAACCGUGGAGGGUCAUUGGAAACUGGGAGACUUGAGUGCAGAAGAGGAGAGCGGAAUUCCAUGUGUAGCGGUGAAAUGCGUAGAUAUAUGGAGGAACACCAGUGGCGAAGGCGGCUCUCUGGUCUGUAACUGACGCUGAGGCUCGAAAGCGUGGGGAGCAAACAGGAUUAGAUACCCGAGUAGUCCCUGUCUCUUAUACA